Molecule: long non-coding RNA, 1301 nt
Organism: Xiphophorus hellerii (green swordtail)
Lineage: Eukaryota; Metazoa; Chordata; Actinopteri; Cyprinodontiformes; Poeciliidae
Exons: 2
Source: RefSeq, a predicted model, not a curated record
AAUAGUCCAUGAUUCACUCGUUUUUAUCCAAAUUCAUUUCUGUUUUGGGCCAGAUCAAAAACCUGAAUGUUCAUAAAGGGCCUGUUGCACCAGAACAUAUUGAUGAAAACCAAUUAAAUUGUUAAAAUAUCAAUAAAUAGGUGUUUCAGCAUCAAUACGUGUUUCUUAAAAUAACAUAAUAUUGAACAUGCUUUCCUUAUGGCCCUGAGACGAUUCAUUGCCAGAAGAGGAAAGCCUGCAGAGCUAUGGUCUGAUUGUGGGACCAAUUUUAAGGGAGGGGAUCGGGAACUCAGAGAAGCCUUUGCCAAUAUGUCAGAGACGCUGCAGGGGCAAUUAGCCUCCCAGAAGAUUAAGUUUCAGUUUAAUCCCCCAGCAGCCCCACAUUUUGGCGGAGUGUGGGAGCGAGAAGUUCGUUCAGUGAAGGCAGCUCUCCGAAGCUGUGUGGGUUCCCAACUUCUUCAGGAGGCGGUACUUCUCAUGGUUCUUCAGGAGGUGGAAUCAAUACUGAACUCAAAGCCUUUGGGCUAUGUAUCAACUGAUGUGGCAGACGUGGACCCUGUGACUCCAAAUAGUCUCCUCAUGGGGCGGCCUGAUGGAUCCCUACCCCAGGUGGUCUACCCAGAGAGAGAAAACCUCAGUCGAAGACGUUGGCGGCACUCACAGAUUCUUGCUGAUCACUUCUGGGCAAGGUUCAUCAGAGAAUACCUUCCUGGCUUACAGACAAGACACAAAUGGCAAUCAAAUCCUCCUGGACUUCUCCAGAAUGCAAUCGUUAUGAUUGUGGAUCCCCAGCUGCCCCGCGCCUUAUGGCCAGUAGGUCAUGUGAUCAAGAUUCAUCGUAGUGAUGAUGGACAUAUCAGAUCAGCGGAUGUGAAAGUUAGUGAACAUGUCUACACUAGACCAGUUGCUCGGUUGGUUGUUUUACCAGCUGAAGUAAAGGACACUGAGAAGAGCAGCCAGACACCCCCCAAAACUUAGUAAUGCCUUUUAUGUUUAGCAAAUGUGUAGCCACAUUUGGGGGCGGCUGUAUAGAAGGCGCUGAUAUUUUUUGUAUUUUAUUUUGUAAUAUUGGUUUCAAACUUACCCUAGGAAGUGACGCAAGUCUCAGUUAGUGCUGCGCUACCGCUCAUGAGAGCAAUUUAAUAUACUUCCGGGUCAGUUUUGCUACAUUCUUAGCAUGCGAAGACCGCAUUCCUGGUGUAGUCCUGAGAAGUGAUGCUCCGAGUGUUAAGUUGAUGACAGAAAACUGCUGGCAACACUGAGCAUCAAGACAAAUAAACCAGCUCACAUCUGAAGUUAAA